CAGCCGCCACGGGAAUACAGAGGGUGCGAGCGUUAAUCGGAUUUACUGGGCGUAAAGCGUGCGUAGGCGGCUUUUUAAGUCGGAUGUGAAAUCCCUGAGCUUAACUUAGGAAUUGCAUUCGAUACUGGGAAGCUAGAGUAUGGGAGAGGAUGGUAGAAUUCCAGGUGUAGCGGUGAAAUGCGUAGAGAUCUGGAGGAAUACCGAUGGCGAAGGCAGCCAUCUGGCCUAAUACUGACGCUGAGGUACGAAAGCAUGGGGAGCAAACAGGAUUAGAUACCCCAUAGUCCCUGUCUCUUAUACA
Molecule: ribosomal RNA, 301 nt
Filed under: uncultured bacterium
Lineage: Bacteria
Description: partial 16S ribosomal RNA
Rfam family: Bacterial small subunit ribosomal RNA
Source: RNAcentral